GUAGGUGGCAAGCGUUGUCUGGAAUUAUUGGGCGUAAAGCGCGCGCAGGUGGUUCUUUAAGUCUGAUGUGAAAGCCCCCGGCUCAACCGGGGAGGGUCAUUGGAAACUGGGGAACUUGAGUGCAGGAGAGGAAAGUGGAAUUCCACGUGUAGCGGUGAAAUGCGUAGAUAUGUGGAGGAACACCAGUGGCGAAGGCGACUUUCUGGCCUGUAACUGACACUGAGGCGCGAAAGCGUGGGGAGCAAACAGGGAUUAGAUACCCUGGUAGUCCACGCCGUAAACGAUGAGUGCUAAGUGUUGGGGGGGUUUCCCGCCCCUCAGUGCUGCAGCUAACGCAUUAAGCACUCCGCCUGGGGAUACGGUCGCAAGACUG
This 373-nucleotide ribosomal RNA is filed under the name uncultured organism. Its description in RNAcentral is "partial 16S ribosomal RNA". It matches the Rfam family "Bacterial small subunit ribosomal RNA", at positions 527 to 896 of the family's 1533-position model. The record is from RNAcentral.